This is a non-coding RNA of Chiloscyllium plagiosum (whitespotted bambooshark), 1106 nucleotides long. NCBI's taxonomy places the organism in Eukaryota, Metazoa, Chordata, Chondrichthyes, Orectolobiformes, Hemiscylliidae. The record is from RefSeq and is a predicted model, not a curated record.
GGCAGGUGGGGCGGGAAGGGCAUGCUACAAUGAGAAAGAAAAGCGACAUCACUUGGGGCACAUGAUCAACGGCAGCCAAUUAGGUUGAAUUAUCAAAGGGGAACAGUUAAAUUUGUAAUUUAGGUUGUGUGAAACUCUUUGGGCCUCAUAAACAACCACAGAACCACAAGUUGGGUGCAGACCAGUCACACAACAGUGGGUCCGGGAUAUUGGUCAGCACACAGCAACUCAUUCUGAUUUAAACCACAGAGUGCCAAGCAUUUCGUACAGUGGUGGGAGACCUGUGCAACCAGUUAGGACGGCUUCACGGGACACCAUGGCUUCGAACAGCAUAUUCGAGUCAUUUCCUUCGUAUCAACAGUGCUUCAUGCGAGAUUUCCAGCACCCACAGUUCUUUGUUCGAUUUUAAGGAGAACUGGGAGUGGCCAGCACACAUUGGAAAUUCGGACACAGAUUUCAGAUGAUGUCAUUGCCAUUCUGAGUUACACUGUCCCAGAAAUGGACAACACCGUCCCCAACCCUCCAAAGAAAACGUACUGCCCACCCAAAGUGAGCCGUAACCACCUCCUUCUGCCUUAUGCCAAUCAACACGAGCCCUGAGAACAAAUCAAGGCCUCCCUUCAAGAUCACAUGCCCACACCAUCUGCCAGUCAGCUGCCCAGCUACUAGCUCUCAGCUGGUUAGACGGAUGUCAGUAGCAAGGGGAAAGCUUCUGCUAUUCUUAGGACCCAGGGACCAUUUAAAAUGUAUCUGCCUGUUGUCCUCUGUAAACAAGUAAUGAUUCCUGAUUUUGUAAUUUCUGUAGUAAUUUCUGCAUUGGUAAGGAAUCCCACCCGGAGAAUUAGUGAUACACCGGUUUAAUAUUAUCACAAACCUUAACUUGUGAGAGCAACCUUGUUUCUGACAGUUAAUCUUGGACACAGCAUACUCAUCAAAUAAUAGACCCAAGUAGCAAGUGGUGUGGAUUUGUGAAUUGCAAAUUGGACUGAAAUAAUGAUAGUCCAGCUCCUGUACAUAGAGUUUAGAGUUUUUAAAUAUAGGUACGCAAAGAGGCAAAGAAAUAAGAUAGCAAGGGGGAAAGGCUGGAAGGAUAUUAUCAAGCUGGA